Molecule: long non-coding RNA, 1092 nt
Filed under: Salvia miltiorrhiza (redroot sage)
Lineage: Eukaryota; Viridiplantae; Streptophyta; Magnoliopsida; Lamiales; Lamiaceae
Description: long non-coding RNA (SMIL_LNC009283)
Source: RNAcentral
AUAAUCAUUAUUUAUAUAACCCAACUCAAAUACUAAGUAAAUAAUUCAUUCAUAUAGCCCCCAACUCAUUUAAGAACAUCAACGAACAUGAAUGUUUUUUUUUUUCCAGAGUACCAACUACCAUCCAUCGGUCUUCAUUUCACCCAACAGAGAUUAAUCUCUUCUUCUUCUUCUUCCGUUAGGCCACGAAAUCUCUUUUCUCUCUUUCUCUUUGUCUAACAGAUCUGAAUUAUUUUUUUUCCGGUACUAUUUUUUCAUCAUGUUAUGAAGAUCAAAUUUCUACCAUGUUGAAAUUCUGAAAAUCCCCAAUAUUAUCCAUCCCAAUUAUAACUGCCGGAGUCGAGAAGCAUUCGAUUUCCCAGCACCAGCAGCUUCUCGAAUGAGGUAUGCUCUGUGUUUCUCGGGUCUUGCAGACGUUAUCGCGCAGUUUUAGCUGUGGAAACAGAGCACAAAUCUCAAAAAUUCCACUUCCCUUGUUUAUAGGGUUUAUCCUUUUCUCACAGAACCUCCAUUCACGAAAGCUAUAAUAUUAAUCCAUAGUCAAUUUGUCACUGCUUUAAUUUGAUAAUUUUCUCUUCAUUUGGGCGGUUGAUCGGGAAUUGAUGGCGGCGGAGUGGCACCACUUCCUUCAAUCGGUGUCGUAGGGAGUCAUCUUCUCGUAUCUGCUAGCGAAGCUAUUCUUGUUGGGAGUCAUCUUCUUGUACUUGCUAGCGAAGCUAUUCUGGGUUAUAUUCGGCUUCCGCGAUGAGAAUCUGAGGAUCAAGAGCGUUGAUUCCCCCGAACCUGAAGUUGAAGUGAGAGCAGCUGAUUCUUCGGCUCGAAAUUCGGAUGAGAAUGAGCCGUUGAUCCGCGGAGGUGCGGUAUCGGGGAAUGAAAGCGUGGUGAUGAGUGAUCAUAGUGAUAGUGAUGAUGAUUGGGAGGGUGUUUUUCUUCUUCCUGCGUUUUUCUUCCUGCUUCUUCCUGCGUUUUAUUUUUCCUGCGUCUUUAAUUAAAAUUUUGAGUUGGGGCUAUACUGAUGGAGUUAUUAGGGUUAUACGUGAUUUGUCUGUUAAGAGAUUGUACGUAUUAUUCUUCUUUCAAAUUAAUCUUCAG